Long non-coding RNA from Actinia tenebrosa (Australian red waratah sea anemone), 249 nucleotides. NCBI's taxonomy places the organism in Eukaryota, Metazoa, Cnidaria, Anthozoa, Actiniaria, Actiniidae. The record is from RefSeq and is a predicted model, not a curated record.
AACGGAAGGAAUUUCCUUUCUUCCUAGAAUCUUAUCAACACCAUGCUCAAAGACCUGUAGCCUGAACUUGUCUUGUUGGUUGAUGGGAGUAGAGUGGAUUGCUGUAUGGCGUAUUACUCUGAAAUGCAAAGUUACAACACAAGCAGGAACAAAAAAAUACAGAAAACAAAUAGCUCAAGCCCUGCUCAACAACAUGGCGUCUCCGUUUCUACGUAACUUCUGUAACUUCCAAYACAUACAGCUUUUUAU